This 594-nucleotide long non-coding RNA is filed under the name Monodelphis domestica (gray short-tailed opossum). Its description in RNAcentral is "lncRNA (ENSMODG00000051250.1)". The record is from RNAcentral. Lineage: Eukaryota; Metazoa; Chordata; Mammalia; Didelphimorphia; Didelphidae.
GACUGGGAGAUUGAACUCAGUGACCGCAGAGGUCCCUUCCAACUCUGUCAUUAUGAAAUGUCAGGUCACAAGAAAGAUUCAUGAGGAAAAGGUCGCCCUGAUAAGACUUUCCAAUUUGGGCACCUUUUAACUGAGUAAAAAAAGAGGGAGUGAAAGUGCAGGUCCACUUUAUGUUCCUUCUUCCAUUCAGUUAAUGCUUUUAGGAAUCUUUGCUCAGUACUAGAGACACACACACAGACAGGGAGAGACAGAGAUAGAGACAGACAGAGACAGACAGACAGAGACAAAGACAGACAGAGACAGAGCCAGAGUGACAUCCUUACAGUAUGUGACUAGGGCUAGACGGCUGCUGGAGUCCCUUGUUCUCAAAUUCUGUGAUUACUUUUCUUUACUGAGUUCUUUAAGAAGAGGAGACCAUUUUAUUCUCUUUCUGCAUGGUGAUGGUGUAUGGUUUUGAGUUGGAACAUGAUAGCCUCGGGAGAAUUUGAGAGGCAGAUCACCCAAAGGGCAACGGAGCAGUGGAAAUUGGUGGAUAUUUUAAGAGAAGAGGAAGACUUAAAAGGUUUCAACUCCUCUCACAUUACUUCGUCAUAA